This 3023-nucleotide ribosomal RNA is filed under the name Candidatus Uhrbacteria bacterium. Its description in RNAcentral is "partial 23S ribosomal RNA". It matches the Rfam family "Bacterial large subunit ribosomal RNA", at positions 991 to 2925 of the family's 2925-position model. Lineage: Bacteria; Candidatus Uhriibacteriota. The record is from RNAcentral.
UUGGGGGCUAAGCUCCAACGGACAAAAGGGAAACAGCCCUUGAUCGCAGACUAAGGUCCCUAAAUUCAUACUCAGUGUCAAAGGUGGUCGGGUGACUUAAACAACCAGGAGGUUGGCUUAGAAGCAGCCAUCCUUUAAAGAAAGCGUAACAGCUCACUGGUCAAGUUACUCGGCGCCGAAAACUUACCGGGGCUCAAGUAUGAUACCGAAGUCGCGGGUUACGCCGUGCCUCACUAACGUUCGCCACGGCAGCUUCUUAGGCAUUAGCUUGUUAGCUUCUUAGGAUGACCUAAGAAGCUGAAGGCUAAGAAGCUAAAAAGCUAAAGCAAGUGACGAGCGAUAGCGAGGCACGGGUAGCGGUAAGGGAGCAUUCUCUUUGCGCUGAAGCGGAAGGCGUGAGCCACCGUGGAGCGGAGAGAAGUGAGAAUGUCGGCAUAAGUAGCAACAAGAAAGGUGAGAAUCCUUUCCACCAUAAACCCAAGGUUUCCAGGGCAACGCGAAUCGUCCCUGGGUUAGUCGGUCCUAAGGCGAGGCCGAAAGGCGUAGUCGAUGGACAGCAGGUUAAUAUUCCUGCACUUCCGUACGAUUUCGAUGGAGUGACGCAUCGUUCAACUGGUCGAGUCUCCUGGAAUGAGACUUCGGGCGCGCAGGGGUGUUCCGCAUGCAAAUCAGCGGAGCAUAAGCCUCGGCGUGAGCGCGAGUCUGCCGCAAGGCGGACAAGGAUCGGGACUGCGGUGUCGAGAAAACCUUCUAGAGCUAAUCGUAUGGAAACCGUACCGUAAACCGACACAGGUGGGUGGGCAUACGUGUGCCAAGGUGUACGAGAGAACCCAUGUUUAGGAACUCGGCAAUACAACGGCCGUAACUUCGGGAUAAGGCCUGCCCAGAGCAAUCUGGGCCGCAGCUAAUGACGCAAACCGACUGUUUACCAAAAACACAGCUUCCUGCUAAACCGCAAGGUGAUGUAUAGGAAGUGAUGCCUGGCCAGUGUCAGAACGUUAAGGGGAGAGGUCAUCCCGUCGCAAGACGGGGGCAGCCUUGAGCUGAAGCGCUGAUGAACGCCGGCGAUAACUAUAAUCGUUUUCUCGCUACCCCCAGCGCAAGCUGGGAACAGAGUAGGGCGAUUACAAAAUUCGACCAAAUGCUGGAACACCUGCGCAUGUCAUGGUACCGAGUAGGUAACAAUCCAUGAACGAUGCAGACAAUCAGCAGGAAAGACUUCGAUCUCGUGUCGGAGAAUCCUCAGAGACUACACGUCGAACUAAGAUCGAUUGAAUCAAGAGUCAGUUAUCCUCUUGGAAAAUCCUAUCAAUCAAAAACUUAGAUGAUAUAGUCCAUACACUCUAGCGAUAGGGUGAGGCAUAAGCCUAAGGUAGCGAAAUUCCUUGUCGGGUGAGUUCCGACCCGCACGAAUGGCAUAACGAGUUUGCGACUGUCUCAACAUGGGACUCGGCGAAAUUGCAAGUGGGGUGAAGAUGCCCUGUACGCGCAGUCAGACGAAAAGACCCCGUGAAGCUUUACUACAACUUGAUAUUGGGUAACGGCUUAGUAUGUUCAGAGUAGGUGGGAGCCGCAAGGCAACAAUGAGACACCACCCUUACUCUUUCGUUAUUCUGAUCGCAGACCGUCUAUCCGGUUUGUGAGACAGUAUCUGGUGGGUAGUUUAACUGGGGCGGUUGCCUCCCAAAAAGUAACGGAGGCGUUCACAAAGGUCAGCUAGGCACGGAUGGAAAUCGUGCCGAUUCCGCAAUGGGAUAAGCUGGCUUAACUGCAAGACCAACAAGUCGAGCAGAUACGAAAGUAGGACAUAGUGAUCCGACCGUACGAUAUCGGACGGCGGAAGCUCAACGGAUAAAAGCUACUCCGGGGAUAACAGGCUGAUCUGGUCCAAGAGUCCACAUCGACGACCAGGUUUGGCACCUUAAUACAUCGGGGUGCAUCAGAAGUGAUUCUGAUCCAAAUCCUUCGACAAGCUCAGGAUAAGCCCUGAGUGGAAUCGAAGGGCAAAAAAUACGGCUAUAACGGUGGACCCGUCAGUGAUUGAAUAUAAAUUCUGGAUGAAAAAAUUUAUAUUUCGAUCGCCCGGCAACACCGUGGGAAGCCACGUAAAAUCCAAAGACAUUUCAGUUUUUUGAAGUUUGGAUCACGUGGCCCCGUAACGACUGACCCGAAAGGGGAGGGUCUGGAUUUUUGAUCCAGGCCAAUACGCCGACGCUCGCUAGAUUCAAACCGAGAUUAUGCCUACGAACAGGCUACGAUCCGGAGCGAGAUGAAGAUAUAGUCUGUGCCAUGAGAAACCAUGGAAUUGAUCCGACAGCGAUGUCGGCCCAUCGCAUCCUGGGGCUGGAGAAGGUCCCAAGGGUUAGGCUGUUCGCCUAUUAAAGCGGUACGCGAGCUGGGUUCAGAACGUCGUGAGACAGUAAGACUGUGCUGUCUAUAAAUUCGACUAUAUGCUGGAAACUCUGGUGCAACUCCUAAUUGGAGUAGGAGUUCAAAGGAUCUCACACUACGUGGUAAAAUAGAGGUCUAUGCCACGUAAAAAAGUGUUGAGUGCAGACAAUCAGCAGGGAAGAUUACGUGAGUGAUCAAGUAAAACCCUCAGAGACUAUACGUCGAAUCCGCUUUAAGCGGAAAGAUAUAGUCCGAACUGCAUGGCGACAUGCAGACCCCGACAGAAACGUCGGGGCGCCGCAGAGCACAUCGCAGAAUAUGGAAGCGGUUAUGCAAGUAACAAAUUUGUCGGUCUCCUGUCUACUGCGCGCGUGGAAGGUUGAGAGGGCGAUUCUCUAGUACGAGAGGACCGAGAAUCACGAACCUCUAGUGCGCCUGCUGUUCUACCAAGGGCACCGCAGGGUAGCUACGUUCGGAACGGAUAAACGCUGAAAGCAUCUAAGCGUGAAGCCGUCCUCAAGAUUAACCUUCGUUAUUAAGGACCCUUCGAGACGAGGAGGUUGAUAGGUGGUAGGUGUAAGAGCCGCAAGGCUUUGAGCCGAGCCAUACUAAUAGUCCGAUGCUUCGGCCAU